Molecule: RNA transcript, 1294 nt
Organism: Peromyscus eremicus (cactus mouse)
Lineage: Eukaryota; Metazoa; Chordata; Mammalia; Rodentia; Cricetidae
Gene: Semg1
Gene name: semenogelin 1
Exons: 4
Source: RefSeq, a predicted model, not a curated record
AGAAUAUAUAAAUGAGCACCUCAGCUCAGUUCUCAGUGAACGCCCUUCUUGACAAGAUGAAGUCCUUAGUCUUCAUCCUUUCUCUGCUCCUCAUUCUGGAAAGACAAGCAGCUGUGGUUGGACAAUAUGGUGGAAUAAAAGGUGGCUUCACCAAAGGUGGCUUCACAAAAGGUGGCUUCACGAAAGGUGGCGUCACCAAAGGUGGCUUCACGAGUAGCUCUUCAGGAUUUAUGAAAGGUCAUGUCAGUUACGGGCUCAAAGGAGGAAGUGAGAAUGCAGCUGAAGAAAGUGCUUUCUUGCAAACAAAACAACAAGUAUAUAGCAAGGGUGGUAACAUGGCACAGGCACGCCUUUCACAAGAACACACAGGUGUAAAGGGGGCCGCACUUUGUCGUAAAGGACAAACACCCCAAAUAAAAUCCCAGGAAUCCCAAGUAAAAUCCUUUGGACAAACGAAAUCCCUUGGAUCUCAAAUGAAGUCCUAUGGACAAAUGAAAUCCUAUGGACAAAUGAAAUCCCAUGAAUCUCAAAUGAAAUCCUAUGGACAACUGAAGUCUGAAAAUGCUCAAAUGAAAUCUUAUAGCCACCUAAAAUCCCAAGAUGCCCAAUUAAAAUCCUAUGGUCAACAAAAAUCCUUUGGUGAAGAUGCCCAACUGAAGUCUUAUGCCCAACAAAAAUCCCAAGUAGCCCAACAAGCCUUUAGCCAAGCAAAAUCCCAAAGUGGCCAACUAAAAUCCUUUGGCCAAGCAAAAUCCCUAAAAGGUUUUUCUCAACAAACUCAGCAUAAAGGAUUUGCUAUGAGUGGAGGGCUAUCACAAGUGCGUAAACAAUAUGAUGAUGAAGCAUCUGUACAACAAAAGUCUAGCCAACAGCUAAAAACAGAGCACGAUUUAUCCCAAUUUGGACAACAACGCCAAUUUGGACAAGAACGCUCACAAUCCUAUAAAGGAUAUCUUGAACAAUACCAAAAGAAAUCACAAGACGACUAUCAACAAAGAAGAAAUUUUAAUGGAGGUGGCUAUUUUACAAAGGGAGGAGAAGGCCUAUAUCAAACUCAACUUAAGAGCUAAUAUAGUCAUUAACCAACUAAAGACCAAGAUCAAUAUCAAGGACGAGUUCAAAUGACUCACCUCACCAGAGUCAAGUCUAUGACACCUUCCAGAUGCCGCCUGCAAUGUGGUCCCAGGUCUCUGGUUCAUGGACAACCCUCUACUCACAUUCGCUUUUCUGUAGGACACCUAACCCUGGAGCUUCCUCAAACACUUGCUUUCCAAUAAAAAUGUAACUUUCUGCA